UCUUGUGCUUCACUCUUCACUUGUCUCGGCUUCUUCUUCCUCCUUCAGAUUUGCGUUUUCCUCCGUUCAGAUUUGCGUUUUCCUCCGUUCGAGUUCCCUUUCGUCUUCACCAAGAGGUAAGUGUUUCAGUCUUCACUUUUGGGUUAGGGUUUUGUCGCGGACGCCACCGCCAUUGUCGCGCAAUUUGUCGCCUCCCGUGAUGCCGUAACCCAGAACCAGAACCAGAACCAGAAACAGAAUAGUAAAAGCUUGAGUUAGGGUUUUCCCAUACGGAAACUACAAGAGAUUGGUCAAGACGUGGAUGAAGAUCCUUUAUAAAAGCUUUUGAAACAAGGGAAAAAUCUAUCUUAUGGUUCAAGACCCAUGAUUAAAGUUUGAGCAUUGAAUGAAAGUGUCCAGAAAUAUACUGAACUUGCUGGGAAAUUGGGGCUAUUUGCGAUAUAUGUUGUAUGUAACUCAAUAUUUUGGUAGAGGCAAUUUCUAGCUUAUAAAGGGAUGAACAUAGCACCACUUGAACAUGAUUGGACCAUAAAGCUCCAGUGCCAAUGCCUGAGUUCAUUGAUAUGUCUGCAUUCUUGAUCUCCAGUCUCCACCAAGGUUGUAGGAUUGGUCCUAUCAAUUAAGAGGUGGUCCUGAAAACUCCAUUAGGGCUACUCGCUUUGGAGCACUAUUUACGUACACCUCAAGGAGUUGGUUGUAUAACAAGAUUGGUUCCACAAAAAGGUGUUCAUCUUAUUAGACAUGCGAUAUUUCUAACAUUGGAGUUGCGAGGACAAUUUGAUCUACUUGGUUCAAGUCCAGUGCCACAUAUUCAGGGAGCAACAUCAAUCAGGACCUUCUCAUUCUGAAGAACCUAGAGUGUGGGAGGAUCGUCACGCUGAUCAGUAAAAUUUACUAAAAUAAAAAAAGAGAAAUAUAAUAAAAAAUUAUAAAAAAAUAUAUGGCAGUUUUUUAGUUUAUUUGGUUUGAUAAAAAAUUGCAAUGAAAUAAUGUAACAAGUCAUUUAGUUUAAAUAGAAUGAAAAAAAAAUUUAUAAAUAAACAUACUUGAUAUCAUAUGCUUAAGGGUUCAAAGGUGAAGAAAAAAAUGAGUUGGGUCUCUCCUAAAGUAAGAUUUUAAUUCUAGCAAUGAUAUUUUUUUUAAGUAAUUUACUAAUUUUUUUUAAUUACUAUUCUAUUGAAAUUGAUUUUAUAUUCUUUUUGUAGUCUCACAAACAAAAAGGAAAUUAUGAGUGCGGAUACUAUGUAAUGAAGACAAUGCAUACUAUUGUCGAUUCAAAAAUAGUAUCUAGGUGGACUGAAUAUUUAUAGAUCGAUCACCAUUGUCGCUAGAAGACAUAAACAUCAUUAGGGAGCAAUGAGCCACAUUUUUUAUUGACCGUUACUUUAACUAGUUUGGGCUGAUGUUUUAUAGUAUUGCUUUAACUAGUUAGAACUUACAUUUCAUUGAGCAAUGUAGUCCAUUUAUGUAUUAGAUGUAUUUAAAACUAUUCAAUUAUAUAUAUAUGAUUAACAUUUAUCAUCUUGUCA
Long non-coding RNA from Cajanus cajan (pigeon pea), 1529 nucleotides. RefSeq lists it as uncharacterized. The record is from RefSeq and is a predicted model, not a curated record. NCBI's taxonomy places the organism in Eukaryota, Viridiplantae, Streptophyta, Magnoliopsida, Fabales, Fabaceae.